Schizosaccharomyces pombe (fission yeast) is the source of this 858-nucleotide non-coding RNA. NCBI's taxonomy places the organism in Eukaryota, Fungi, Ascomycota, Schizosaccharomycetes, Schizosaccharomycetales, Schizosaccharomycetaceae. The record is from the annotation of a GenBank genome assembly.
AAAAAUAUUUUUAAUUCGAUACCCAUCAAUCAAAUGAACAUUGACUGUAAUAGUAUACUGGUUUGACGAUUCUACUUGCCGUAGAACAUCAUUUACGACCAAAAAUCUUUUUCAGAUGCAAUAUAUAACAUUUUAUAGCAUCAUGCAUUAAUCUCAUUCAUUAAAGAUAAAUUCCAAUCUGUGAAAACAAAAUUCAGUGCGACUAUAGUGGCAGCGAGUGACAAACUUGAAGGCCACAGAUUCUCCUAAUGUUUAUUGAUCUUCCAUUUUGGGACGUUGCUUCAAAACCAAGUCAGUGCCAGUCAUUCUCUUAUAAAUAUCUCGAACGUCGCAAGUCAAGGUUUCAAAAUGGGAAGUGGCAUCUACGCUUUUACUGAUGUAGCAUUGAUCUUUGGUGCCAUCUGUCACUGGCUCAUAUAUUUCCUGGACUCUAGAAAAUGAUUCCACUACAGGCCCAAGAAGCUUGAGACCAGGUGCGAUUUCCGACAAAGGGUUAGCUGUCUCAACGAUUGUGGAAAUGAUAGCCAAGUAAUAUCCCUUAGGGCAAACAUUGUGAACAGAUGAAAUUCCUGCAAUAUAAAUGUCGUGCUUACGUUUGACUUGGUUCUGUGGAAUAAUAAUUUGAACGGAAUCCAAAUUAUCUGUGUUAGGAAUGGGAUGGUUCAAGAUACAAAUAGCUCGCACAAGGCGUCCAACUGAACGAACUUUUUCACGAAAAUAAGAUGGGUCCCCAAUUAUUUGCUUAGCCUUUGCAACUUGAUCGCCACUUCGAACACCGAUUGCGACACCAUCAUCCCCAUAAACAAUUUCAUCGACAGGCUGGUUAAGCAUGUAAGUACCACCGUAAAUUGCACUUAA